RNAcentral lists this long non-coding RNA (417 nucleotides) under Mytilus galloprovincialis (Mediterranean mussel). Lineage: Eukaryota; Metazoa; Mollusca; Bivalvia; Mytilida; Mytilidae. The record is from RNAcentral.
GUCCAUUUAUUGGACAAUGGUGUAAUGUAAAUAACACUUAAUAAAGAUUUAAUUCUUAUCAUGUAAAGGUCGUAACCCAAAUUAAAGUAAAUCAAAGUGUAUCAAAUAUGACAGAAAGUACGAAAUAUGUUUCAAAGGCAAAACCUAAAUUAAUAAUAAAUUUGUAAAUACCUGUAUUGCAAAGCCUGUGUUGCCAUUUAUCACAAUCUUCACAUUGGAGAGCAUGUUGUCUUGGUCGGACUUGCUGGUCACAUAGCACACAGGGGUACGACAUGAUGAACAGCAAUUUCCCAAAUGAGUGCCACCGACAUUUCUGGUUACUUUUAUAAAGCAAGGUCGGUACAUCAAAAAGACUGCUCAAACAGCUUGUAUUUUUACAAGAAUUUCACUACCAAAUGUAUGUUUUCACUCCGCUUG